This 230-nucleotide ribosomal RNA is filed under the name uncultured microorganism. RNAcentral's name for it is "partial 16S ribosomal RNA". It matches the Rfam family "Bacterial small subunit ribosomal RNA", at positions 524 to 753 of the family's 1533-position model. The record is from RNAcentral.
UACGAAGGGGGCUAGCGUUGCUCGGAAUGACUGGGCGUAAAGGGCGCGUAGGCGGUUUGCACAGUCAGGCGUGAAAUUCCCGGGCUUAACCUGGGGGCUGCGUUUGAUACGUGCGGACUUGAGGAUGAGAGAGGCUCGUGGAAUUCCCAGUGUAGAGGUGAAAUUCGUAGAUAUUGGGAAGAACACCGGUGGCGAAGGCGGCGAGCUGGCUCAUUUCUGACGCUGAGGCG